CCUACGGGUGGCUGCAGUGGGGAAUAUUGGACAAUGGGGGGAACCCUGAUCCAGCCAUGCCGCGUGUGUGAAGAAGGCCCUCGGGUUGUAAAGCACUUUCAGUGAGGAAGAACGCCUGGUGGUUAAUACCCAUCAGGAAAGACAUCACUCACAGAAGAAGCACCGGCUAACUCCGUGCCAGCAGCCGCGGUAAUACGGAGGGUGCGAGCGUUAAUCGGAAUUACUGGGCGUAAAGCGCGCGUAGGUGGCUUGAUAAGCCGGUUGUGAAAGCCCCGGGCUCAACCUGGGAACGGCAUCCGGAACUGUCAAGCUAGAGUGCAGGAGAGGAAGGUAGAAUUCCCGGUGUAGCGGUGAAAUGCGUAGAGAUCGGGAGGAUACCAGUGGCGAAGGCGGCCUUCUGGACUGACACUGACACUGAGGUGCGAAAGCGUGGGUAGCAAACAGGAUUAGAUACCCCUGUAGUC
RNAcentral lists this ribosomal RNA (464 nucleotides) under Vreelandella stevensii. Its description in RNAcentral is "partial 16S ribosomal RNA". It matches the Rfam family "Bacterial small subunit ribosomal RNA", at positions 338 to 795 of the family's 1533-position model. Lineage: Bacteria; Pseudomonadati; Pseudomonadota; Gammaproteobacteria; Oceanospirillales; Halomonadaceae. The record is from RNAcentral.